Molecule: ribosomal RNA, 410 nt
Filed under: uncultured bacterium
Lineage: Bacteria
Description: bacterial SSU rRNA
Rfam family: Bacterial small subunit ribosomal RNA
Source: RNAcentral
UGGGGAAUAUUGCACAAUGGGGGAAACCCUGAUGCAGCAACGCCGCGUGGAGGAUGAAGGUCUUCGGAUUGUAAACUCCUUUGAUGAGGGACGCGGUACCUCAAAAACAAGCCACGGCUAACUACGUGCCAGCAGCCGCGGUAAUACGUAGGUGGCAAGCGUUGUCCGGAAUUAUUGGGCGUAAAGGGCGCGUAGGCGGCUUUUUAAGUCAGAUGUGAAUACCUAGGCUCAACCUGGAAUGGCAUCUGAUACUGGGAGGCUAGAGUGCAGGAGAGGUAAGGGAAUUCCUAGUGUAGCGGUGAAAUGCGUAGAAUUAGGAGGAACACCAGUGGCGAAGGCGAUUACUGGACUGUAACUGACGCUGAGGCGCGAAAGCGUGGGGAGCAAACAGGAUUAGAUACCCGAGUAGU